This is a long non-coding RNA of Gorilla gorilla gorilla (western lowland gorilla), 3710 nucleotides long. RefSeq lists it as uncharacterized. The transcript is spliced from 2 exons. The record is from RefSeq and is a predicted model, not a curated record. Lineage: Eukaryota; Metazoa; Chordata; Mammalia; Primates; Hominidae.
CUGUUGACAUGGGGAGAGAAGAGCGGGUCUGACUCGGAAAUGACGCCAUAAUGCUGAGGAGCCACUCCUGGCGUUGCGGAAGGUGGGGUAUGGGGCCGGAAGACCCUCCCCCCGCGUCUUCAGAGGAGCGCUGUUUUUGGAGGAGUUAGGGGAAGGAGGCUGCCUGGUAAGCCACGAAAGGGGCUUCUGGCCGUUCUGUUGGAGCGCCUCUGACUGACUUCCCCCAUGUGUCCGUGUGGCCACACCGUGCUACUUUCAGAGGCAGUGGGCUUUUCGCUAAGGGAUAAAAAGAAGUAAAACCUUGCUUUUAGCGCAGCUCUCCUUCACUGGGCAGAUUGCUCUCCCUCCCCACUCUCCCAGGCCCAAAUUGGAUCUCAGCGCCUGGGAGCUCCAACUUUAGCAAGUGCGAAAUCCUGUCUUCGGUUUUGGAAUUUUCAUCCGCACAGACUAUAUCAGCCACGGAUAGGAUAUGUGAGAAUACCAGCAUGUCAAGGCUGGGAAUCAUCCUUAGGCAUCACCUAGCCAGUCCUGCCUCUCAUUUUAAGGUGAUCACAGGAUCUGGUUUGCCACUGAAAGGAAUCUUGAUGCUGACCACUUCACCUCGGAGAGCAUGAACUGCUCCCAUGCCUUCAAGAGUUUUAGGUAAGUGUAUCUUAGCUGGAACUGUAUCAGAAAAAAAAAAGAAUAUAAUUUAGCAACAUCUAACAGUAUGUGUUUAAGUGCAAUAGCCUCCACCCCCAAGUUAAUAACUCAUUUAGCCUCAAAUUGAUGAUGAUUUAUUUAUUUUUACCUUCCACUUCCAAGGAGGCAGUGCCAGACACAGAUCCCCCUUGGUUGGUAGCUCUGACUUGGUAAACUGUGGCAUCAUCAUCUGUGACACUUGCAAUGAUGAGCUGGUGGUAGCCACCCUUAAAUUCUUGAAUCCUAUAUUUUAAUCCAUCUGCAAUGAUUUCUUUGCCUUGUCUGUACCAUUUCACGAUAGGUUUUGGAUGACCAGUCACUUUGCAGACCAAGGUAGCAUUGCUCUGAUAUCUGACAUUUAGAUUUCUCAGUUCCUCUUUAAAGUGUGGUGCCUGAAUUGGGACAUCAGAUUUGGGAGUGAUGGGUUCUGAUAUUUCACUCCAUUCACUUUCCCCACCUAGAUUUUCACAUUUCACACGAAACUCAUAUUCAAGACCUUCAAUAAGGUUUUUCACUGAAAAGACAGUUUCUCGAAUUUCUUCUGUUGUCACAGAAAUCCAUUUAUUCUGCUUCUUCUCACGCUUCUCAAGGUAGUAAUUUCUAAUCUUUGCACCUCCAUCACUGGCAGGUGGCUUCCAGGCCACAACACAAGAAUCUUUUGUGACAGCAGUAAUAGUUGGUUUGCCAGGAGCACCUGGCUUUUCUAUUUUAAAAAAAAAAGAUUUGAGUCAUGAGAUGAAACAGGCAGCUUUAUUAAAGCUUAUUUUUUAAAAAAGAAUGUUAUAUGAGUCCAAAAUUUUAUUAAAAAAUAGCUAUUCCAGAAAAAUGAAAUUGGUUACUUUAUACUAAGACAUAUCAAAAACCAAAGUUCUAUUUUUAAAAUGGGGUUAGGAUAUAUAUUUCUCCUUUUAGAUAUGCAAACAUUCAAUUAAAGUGAAAGAAAAGGCACUUGUACUUUAUCUGAAUCUUUGCUAUUUCCUUUCAAAAUUUCUUUCUGUUUAAAAGAGUUUUAUGCAAAGAUGGAACUUUACCAUAGGAAGAUACAGAAAUCAAGUUGUACUCACCAAAUGGACUCUUAAUGAUCACAACUGAGGACACUUCUAGAGGGUCACUGAUGCCGAAAGUGUUCUGAGCUGAAACCCGGAAGUAAUAGCCAGCAUUUUCUGUGAGGUUCACAAUUCUACAGGUUGUCACUGAGAUGGCUGAAGACACCAAUUGCCAUUCAGCCCCCUCCUUGGCCUCACAUUUUUCCACCACAUAGUUGGUGAUCCAGGAGCCUCCGUCAUCUGCGGGUGGUUUCCAGCUGAUCACUGCGGAGUUCUUCAAUAGAGCUUCGAUCACAAUUGGUCCUGUAGGUUUGUCUGGUUUAUCUGUUGGGGGAAAAUACAAUUGUGGUGGUUUUCAUAGUGUGUUUUUGAGAUUUUUUUUUUCUUUAAAAAUAAAAAGCACUGAAAAUAAAAAUAAAAUACCUUGUAUUUCCACAUCAAGGAUGGCAUCAACUGUUCCAAAAACAUUGCUGAGCUGGACUUUGUAUUUCCCAGCAUGAGUCUUACGUUGGACAUUCUUCAUGACAAGAUGAGUAUAGUGCUCAGUGUUUUCAAUAGUAAUGUUUUCUGAGUUUUGCAAAAGUUUCUGACCAUGGAACCAAGUCAUGGCAGGUACUGGACGACCAAUGUACAUAACAUGAAGCCGAAGUGUCGAACCCACAGCUCCAUAAUAUUUCUCUUUCAGUGGGUAACCAGGAUGGAACUGCGGUGUUGCUUGCAGGAGAAGCUUACUACUGGUUUCUACUUCUCCAACCUCAUUGGUGGCUAUGCAGGUAUAAACACCUUCAUCUUCCUGUUCCUCUGUCAUUACUGUAAGAGUGUGUGUGCGUCCAUCUGAAGACAUUUUGUAUUUCCGGCUUUGUAUGAGCUCUUUACCAAAUCUGUACCAUUUAAUGUCAGGAAGAGGCCUUCCAACAAUCUGGCAUGAGAGUUGAGCAGCUUCACCCAAUUUUGUGGUAACAUCCUUCAUUUCUUUGCGUAUUCCUGGGGCCUCUCCAGCUGAACAAUAUGAAAGAUAAUAUUAAGUGACUGUUAAUACUCAAUCUGUAAUCCUUUGUCCUUGUAUAUCAGGAAUGAAUUUACCUUAUUUACUGACACAUACCAUGAUUUACAUAUUAGCCUAAUUCUUAAAAACUCUUUGAAGUGAUUUUCCUAGGAUCAUAUGGUAAAUAGGGAUUCAAUGAGCACAUCGUCACAUUUUAUGUAGUUUUUUUUCUCUUUAUGAUUGGAAGGGGAUUAAUAAUGUAUAGGCUUUUAAGGGACUAUACAUUCUCUCUAUAAUUCUGUAGUAUUCUUGCCCUUACUUAGGUUCAUUGAAGUGGCAUACAAUUGUUGACCUUUCAAAUCUUGUUGGGAAAUAUUUUUAAAAAGAAACCAUUGCAUUAGAGGGAAUUGCUCAAGGAAAGUGCUCAGUUCACUCCAUCUAACAUCUGCUGAGGUUAUGUGCUUGGAAUGGUUUCCUAUAGAACUUGUCAUAUUUCCUGUGUGUGUACUUGCUUUUCUUUCUUAACAUUUGCUCUCCAAUAAAGCUUUCCAGGGUUCUACUUAGUAUAGAGGGGGAAUUAGCCUUAACUUGUUUAGUUUGUAAAUCAUAAGUAGAGAACCAAAGGCUACUUACAUGUGAGUUUAGUCUUUAUAGACAUAGCAGUUCUGCGAGGUCUGCUCAGCCCAGUCUCAUUCUCAGCAAAAACCCUGAAUUCAUACUCAGUAGCUUCCAGCAAACCUCCUAUUGUGAAUUGCUUGUCCUUAAUACGUUCCUUAUUGCUCUUCUUCCAGGCACUGUCUCCAGACUGUCUAUAUUCAACCCAGUAUCCAAGAAUUUCUUUACCACCAUCACAUUCAGGUUUCUCCCACUGUAGAGUGACACUAUCUUUGGAUAUUGAAAGAAUCUCAAGUUCUCCUGGUUGGCUUGGUUUAUCUGAAAUAUUUUAAAAUAAUGAAAAGGGAGUCAGCUUUACUAGUGAAAUAAAAGGACCAAACAUG